CCUACGGGAGGCAGCAGUGGGGAAUAUUGGGCAAUGGGGGGAACCCUGACCCAGCAACGCCGCGUGAGGGAAGAAGGUUUUCGGAUUGUAAACCUCUGUUCUUGGGGAAGAGAUGAAGACGGUACCCAAGGAGGAAGCCCCGGCUAACUACGUGCCAGCAGCCGCGGUAAU
This 171-nucleotide ribosomal RNA is filed under the name uncultured bacterium. RNAcentral describes it as "partial 16S ribosomal RNA". It matches the Rfam family "Bacterial small subunit ribosomal RNA", at positions 338 to 524 of the family's 1533-position model. The record is from RNAcentral.